CGGCGAGUGAAGCGGCAACAGCUCAAAUUUGAAAGCUGGCCCCUUGGGGGUCCGCGUUGUAAUUUGUAGAGGAUGAUUCGGCGAGGGCUCCCGUCUAAGUCCCCUGGAACAGGGCGUCAUAGAGGGUGAGAAUCCCGUAUGUGAUGGGCUGCCUUAGCCAUGUGAAUCUCCUUCGACGAGUCGAGUUGUUUGGGAAUGCAGCUCUAAAUGGGAGGUAAAUUUCUUCUAAAGCUAAAUACCGGCCAGAGACCGAUAGCGCACAAGUAGAGUGAUCGAAAGAUGAAAAGCACUUUGGAAAGAGAGUUAAAAAGUACGUGAAAUUGUUGAAAGGGAAGCGCUUGCAGCCAGACUUGUCCGCAGUUGCUCAGCCGGUCUCCUGACCGGCGUACUCUUCUGCGGCCAGGCCAGCAUCAGUUCGGGCGGUCGGAUAAAGACCYGGGGAAUGUAGCUCCUCUCGGGGAGUGUUAUAGCCCGGGGUGCAAUGCGGCCAGCCUGGACUGAGGAUCUCGCUUCGGCUAGGAUGCUGGCGUAAUGGCUGUAAGCGGCCCGUCUUGAAACACGGACCAAGGAGUCUAACAUCUAUGCGAGUGUUUGGGUGUCAAACCCAUGCGCGUAAUGAAAGUGAACGGAGGUGGGAACCCUCACGGGUGCACCAUCGACCGAUCCUGAUGUCUUCGGAUGGAUUUGAGUAAGAGCAUAGCUGUUGGGACCCGAAAGAUGGUGAACUAUGCCUGAAUAGGGUGAAGCCAGAGGAAACUCUGGUGGAGGCUCGCAGCGGUUCUGACGUGCAAAUCGAUCGUCAAAUUUGGGUAUAGGGGCGAAAGACUAAUCGAACCAUC
RNAcentral lists this ribosomal RNA (839 nucleotides) under Neofusicoccum luteum. RNAcentral describes it as "eukaryotic LSU rRNA". It matches the Rfam family "Eukaryotic large subunit ribosomal RNA", at positions 87 to 944 of the family's 3401-position model. The record is from RNAcentral. Lineage: Eukaryota; Fungi; Ascomycota; Dothideomycetes; Botryosphaeriales; Botryosphaeriaceae.